RNAcentral lists this ribosomal RNA (462 nucleotides) under uncultured Ignavibacterium sp. Its description in RNAcentral is "bacterial SSU rRNA". It matches the Rfam family "Bacterial small subunit ribosomal RNA", at positions 335 to 795 of the family's 1533-position model. Lineage: Bacteria; Pseudomonadati; Ignavibacteriota; Ignavibacteria; Ignavibacteriales; Ignavibacteriaceae. The record is from RNAcentral.
UGCCUACGGGGGGCAGCAGUGAGGAAUAUUGGGCAAUGCCCGAAAGGGUGACCCAGCAACGCCGCGUGGAGGAUGAAGGCCGUAAGGUUGUAAACUCCUGUUAGAGGGGAAGAAAAAUCCCGAUAGAAUCGGGAACUGACUGUACCCUCAGAGGAAGCCCCGGCUAACUACGUGCCAGCAGCCGCGGUAAUACGUAGGGGGCAAGCGUUGUCCGGAUUCACUGGGUGUAAAGGGCGCGUAGGCGGGUUAGCAAGUCAGAGGUGAAAUCUCCCGGCUCAACCGGGAAACUGCCUUUGAAACUGUUAAUCUUGAGUGCGGAAGAGAGAGACGGAAUUCCAGGUGUAGCGGUGAAAUGCGUAGAUAUCUGGAGGAACACCGGUUGCGAAGGCGGUCUCUUGGUCCGUAACUGACGCUCAGGCGCGAAAGCGUGGGUAGCAAACAGGAUUAGAUACCCUGGUAGUC